UUUCCGUAGGUGAACCUGCGGAAGGAUCAUUCAUAAUAAGUGUUUUAUGGCACUUUUUUAAAUCCAUAUCCACCUUGUGUGCAAUGUCAGGGUUGAUUUUUCUCUCGAGAGGAUCAGCCCCAGACAUCAACUAUAUCUCAACUCUUUGUCUGAAAAAUAUUAUGAAUAAAACAAUUCAAAAUACAACUUUCAACAACGGAUCUCUUGGCUCU
This 212-nucleotide unclassified non-coding RNA is filed under the name plant metagenome. Its description in RNAcentral is "partial contains small subunit ribosomal RNA, internal transcribed spacer 1, and 5.8S ribosomal RNA". The record is from RNAcentral.